This 67-nucleotide transfer RNA is filed under the name Careproctus cypselurus. Its description in RNAcentral is "tRNA-Tyr". It matches the Rfam family "tRNA". Rfam says of the family: Transfer RNA (tRNA) molecules are approximately 80 nucleotides in length. Their secondary structure includes four short double-helical elements and three loops (D, anti-codon, and T loops). RNAcentral also lists the same sequence under 1 other name. Lineage: Eukaryota; Metazoa; Chordata; Actinopteri; Perciformes; Liparidae. The record is from RNAcentral.
GGUAGGAUGGCUGAGUAAAGCGGUGGGUUGUAACCUCACAGACAGAGGUUUAACCCUCUUCUUAUCA